CCCUUAGAUGUUCUGGGCCGCACGCGCGCUACACUGAUGCAUUCAACGAGCCUAGCCUUGACCGAGAGGUCCGGGUAAUCUUUGAAACUGCAUCGUGAUGGGGCUAGAUUAUUGCAAUUAUUAAUCUUCAACGAGGAAUGCCUAGUAAGCGUGAUUCAUCAAAUCGCGUUGAUUACGUCCCUGCCCUUUGUACACACCGCCCGUCGCUCCUACCGAUUGGGUGUGUUGGUGAGGAGUUCGGAUUGGCUCUUAGUGGUGGUUCGCCACCACCUAGAGCUGAGAAGUUCUCCAAACCGCCCCACUUAGAGGAAGGAGAAGUCGUAACA
RNAcentral lists this ribosomal RNA (326 nucleotides) under uncultured eukaryote. RNAcentral describes it as "partial 18S ribosomal RNA". It matches the Rfam family "Eukaryotic small subunit ribosomal RNA", at positions 1470 to 1796 of the family's 1831-position model. The record is from RNAcentral.